RNAcentral lists this transfer RNA (74 nucleotides) under Schistocerca americana (American grasshopper). RNAcentral describes it as "tRNA-Thr". It matches the Rfam family "tRNA". From Rfam's summary of the family: Transfer RNA (tRNA) molecules are approximately 80 nucleotides in length. Their secondary structure includes four short double-helical elements and three loops (D, anti-codon, and T loops). Further hydrogen bonds mediate the characteristic L-shaped molecular structure. tRNAs have two regions of fundamental functional importance: the anti-codon, which is responsible for specific mRNA codon recognition, and the 3' end, to which the tRNAs corresponding amino acid is attached (by aminoacyl-tRNA synthetases). tRNAs cope with the degeneracy of the genetic code in two manners: having more than one tRNA (with a specific anti-codon) for a particular amino acid; and 'wobble' base-pairing, i.e. permitting non-standard base-pairing at the 3rd anti-codon position. Lineage: Eukaryota; Metazoa; Arthropoda; Insecta; Orthoptera; Acrididae. The record is from RNAcentral.
UCCUCGGUGGCUCAGUCAGACAGAGCAUCUGCCAUGUAUGCAGGAGGUCCCGGGUUCGAGUCCCGGUUGAGGCA